This 486-nucleotide ribosomal RNA is filed under the name uncultured Lachnospiraceae bacterium. RNAcentral's name for it is "partial 16S ribosomal RNA". Lineage: Bacteria; Bacillati; Bacillota; Clostridia; Lachnospirales; Lachnospiraceae. The record is from RNAcentral.
CACGUAGUUAGCCGGGGCUUCUUAGUCAGGUACCGUCAUUUUCUUUCCUGCUGAUAGAGCUUUACAUACCGAAAUACUUCUUCACUCACGCGGCGUCGCUGCGUCAGGGUUUCCCCCAUUGUGCAAUAUUCCCCACUGCUGCCUCCCGUAGGAGUUUGGGCCGUGUCUCAGUCCCAAUGUGGCCGUUCACCCUCUCAGGCCGGCUACUGAUCGUCGCCUUGGUGGCCUCUACCCCGCCAACAAGCUAAUCAGACGCGGGUCCAUCGUAUACCACCGGAGUUUUUCACACCAGACCAUGCGAUCCUGUGCGCUUAUGCGGUUUUAGCACCUAUUUCUAAGUGUUAUCCCCCUGUAUACGGCAGGUUACCCACGCGUUACUCACCCGUCCGCCACUAACAGAUAAAUCACUAGGUUCAUUACCUGUCCGUCGACUUGCAUGUGUUAAGCACGCCGCCAGCGUUCAUCCUGAGCCAGGAUACAAACUCU